Molecule: unclassified non-coding RNA, 691 nt
Filed under: Hevea brasiliensis (rubber tree)
Lineage: Eukaryota; Viridiplantae; Streptophyta; Magnoliopsida; Malpighiales; Euphorbiaceae
Source: RNAcentral
CUGAGAGAUUUUUGCUCCGGGCCUCUCUGAGAUCUGAUAUAUUUGAAUACUAAUUUUCCUCCCUGGCCCCUUUUUUCCCCCUCCUCUCUGUGGCCUAUUUGUAUAGUGGUUAAUUUCUUGUAUAUUGUUGUUGAUUGUUGAGUUGAGUUGUUGAAUGUUGAUGGUUAAUUUCCUCGCUCUAUUUUCUUAUUUUUUUAAUUUUUUUGUUUUGUUGAUUAUUGAAUUGUUUAGUAUAACCUAGUUGCUGUUGAUUUGUUAUUGGUUGAAUUACUGUGACAAAGUGUAACCUGAGGGAGGGAAUAUCAAAACUGAUGAACCGAACUGAAAAUUUUAAGUUUGUUUUGAUUUGAUUUUCUGUAUACUUCAGUUGGGUUUGGUUCACAUAAUUUUUAAAGUUCGGUUUGAUUCAGCUCAUUUUGGAACUGACUGAUUACCUACAUGUUCUGAAUAUGCCACAGGUUCCUGCUGGUUCGCGUGUGACUUAAAUCUGCAGUUUGUUUUAGAUCUUAGAUUUGUUAAUAUUUGUUGAUUAGUUGGUGCAUUCUGAUGAUAUUAAUGCCUAUCUCCCCUAAUAAAAUUCGCUCAUUAUAUGUGCUAAAAUUUAAAAAUAAACAGAAAAAAGGCCCUUCUUUGGUAACAUUUUUGCGUAUUUUGAGAUUAUUUAUUAGAUUUCCUCUCUUGUUCUGCAGGU